Long non-coding RNA from Panicum virgatum (switchgrass), 2673 nucleotides. RefSeq lists it as uncharacterized. Lineage: Eukaryota; Viridiplantae; Streptophyta; Magnoliopsida; Poales; Poaceae. The record is from RefSeq and is a predicted model, not a curated record. The transcript has 3 exons.
UCCCUCCAAUGGGUGCCUGUCCUCUGGGCUCGGGACGCCGGUGCGGGCGUUCCUCGACAGCGGCCACAUGCGGGUGCUGGCCGUCGACGACUCCAUUGCAGGCGCCGAGGACGCUCUCCUGGCCGCCGCAGCGCUCGCGAGGCUCGAGCCGGGACUGCAGGAGCAAGCCAGGACCCCGUCGUGCGCGUCACCGUCUUCUUCGACUUGGCUGCGGCCGCCGGCGCGGGGGGCUUGCUGGCCGUGCCCGUGAUGCUGUUCUUCAGAGUCCCCACGGUCGGCCGCGGUAUUCGGCCCAUGAGGCGCUCGCGUUCGUGGCCGCGAGCAUCGGGAGGAAGGGCUGGGGCGGCCGGCGCGAGCGGCAAGCGGAGGGUGCUGAUGACCUUGGCAGUGAGGUCAGUUUGUUAUUGCCUAUCUGCGGAAGGUUGGACCCUUGUUUUUCCCCGCGACAGGACCUCGUUCCGGGUUGCUGAUGACCUUGGCAAUGGCGGAUUUCCUUUCUAUCUGCUGGCUUUACGAGCUGGUGGCGGCGGAUUACUUCCUCCCCUUCCUUCUCGGGUGAUGCGAUGGCCGAUGAUCCUUAAACGAAAUUGAUGUGCUGCGAUUGGUUUGGGUGCUGGCCGAUGAUCCUUCUCGAUGGGCGCCGAGUACAGGCUAGCAGCAGCACCCUGGUUGGGGACAUCCAAAGCACGAAUGCUUCAAACUUGAUGGCUGCCUUCAAGGAGUUAGACGGAAUACGCUUACACCGUUGAAUCUUCAGACUAGGCAACGAUUGACAUCUCAAUUCUUACGAGUCAAAGAUUUGGUCUGUCCUGCUGUGUCUUCAUUGGUGUUACUUGGGAAGGUACCAACCUAACCAAGGAGACCAGCUUGAGGUACAGGAAUCCUGCAACGUUGAGGAUUCUGGUGAUAGUAGUCAAGGGAACACUACGAGAUCAGGAUGCUCUUGGUUUCAAGGCUCAAGCUGCCAAUGGUCGAUGAACAACACCAAUGUAGGUUGACUUGUUGAUCAAAUUUAUUAAGAUGCAUCUAUGAUUUUAAUCUAAGUUGUAAUCCUCUUGUUUUAAUCUGAGCAAUCUCAAAGGUUUUUAUUGAGAUGCAUCUAUGAUUUUGGAGAUAAAUAAAGAUCAUGAACAUACAUAAUUAAAUCCAGCAAAAUGUAUGGCUUUUAUUUUGCAUAUUGGAGGUGGUACCUAAUUGCUUAAGGCCAAUAUUGUUGGUUAGCUGUCUUGCUAAACUGAUGCAAACAUGUUGCCUCUGCUCGGGUCCAUUGUUUUUUUUUAAAUGUGUGUCAUUUAAUACAUAAAGCAUUUCAAAAUAAUAUCAUAGUAAAAUAGUGAAUUGUCAUUAGCAGUUUUGAAUAUCCACACCAGCACCAUGUGGUAAGGGAGGACAGGUAAAUUUUUUUCUUUGUCACCAAACAGAUAUGCUCACUUUUAUUUCCAAACAGAUUAAUCCAAACUAGGGUGAUAUUCAAUGCAUGUAUUAAUAUAUUAUAUGGAAAAAAAUAAUCUAUUCAACAAUAUGUUGUUUAUUCUUGUUUAAUAGCACCUUACAUUCAGAAACAUUAUUGCCAUAAUGCAAUGUUUCAGAUUGUUCAACUAACAGUUCUGUUCCAUCGAGAUUUGCAAAGUUACUUAGACAAAUCAUGCUGCAAUAUAAAUGUUGAUAAAUUUUUUAUAAAUUUGGUCAAAUUUAAAAUUGUUUAACUCCUUGGGAAGCGAGAUUUGCAUUUUUUUUAACAAAGGGAGUAUAUGUUUUGGUUUUUACUUAUGAGUCAUGACAUGUUUUCGAGCGGUUUGUACUCGUAACUUUAUUUGUAGUCUUAUGUGGUUGAAUUGCAUUUAUGCUAAAAUUUUCAUCUACUUGAAUAUUUGAAAAUGUAUUCUUGACCCACGUACAUCUUUAGUAUAAAUCAAUGUUUUAAAUAGCGAGCCAUAAAUCGGAGAAUGUGCCCAACCGGACCAGGCAGUGCCUCGAGAAGGGCACCGAGGAUGUCCUCCUCAAGACCGUUCGCCCCUCCGACGUGUUCACCGAAAUGUCCACGCGUGUGUUUACUGUAUGUGCAUUGUGUAUGGACGUGAUUUUUCUUUGUUUGUUCUUCUUCCAUGAAACAAUGCACGAUACAUUUGAGGUACAGCUUAGAUUUUGUUGCCUGGCAGUAUUAUGCAGAAAAGAGGCGCUUGUCAUCCAGUUCAGCAGGGGACGAUGCUGGUGAUCCGAGCAUAGUGGAGAUGCUGGCGCGCCAUGGCCUCACCAAGAGGACUCCUAUGAUGACAUGCACAUGAAUCUUGUGUUUUAGGAAUUUUUGUUUGGUUUACUUAUCACCUUUUUUGCUUAAAAUAUUUCUAUGCAGAGUAUAGUAGCAUGAUAAUCAGAAGCGCUAUGAGGAUGAAAGACUGGUAUGAGUAUAUAUAGCCUUCCGAGCUUGCAAGUGCGGACUGGGAACCACGACGACAAUAGUAGUGACCUGGUAAGAUAGCUGUAUACUUGAUUGUUCCUUAUUUUCUAUGCCCGUGAUUGCUGAUUUUUCUCUCAGGAACAUACAUUACUUGUUAGUUUGCUCAAAGUGGAAGAGCAUGUUCAUGAAACCAUUCUGUUAAUGUUUUUUUUUUAUUUUGAACCAGAAUGAAUGACCUGAAAGAAUAAGCAAUGCAUUAUGCUAACAGUCUCUAA